RNAcentral lists this ribosomal RNA (1742 nucleotides) under Triticum aestivum (bread wheat). RNAcentral's name for it is "partial small subunit ribosomal RNA". The record is from RNAcentral. Lineage: Eukaryota; Viridiplantae; Streptophyta; Magnoliopsida; Poales; Poaceae.
GUCGUCCUCCGGGGAAGUUGGUCCGUGGACCAGGAAAGUCGCUUCUCGGGCAAAGAUGGGUGUAGGGCAUUAGUUGAAACUUAAUCCCCCUCGCCUGUGGCGCUGGUGUGAGGUCCUGGUUUGAGAAGACAAUUGCGUUUGAAGGCGUGAACUCCAUUGCCGGCGAUGGAGUUCCUGAUGCAAACAAUUAGCAGUGCCCGGAUCCAGAUUCCCCUUGAUCUUGAUUGAAGAGGUGGAGCCCCGAUGGGUCUGGCGCCGUACGUCGCGAGAGUUGCAGCCCAGCCUGCGGACCAAGACCCGGGCGGAGCCGCAAGUGAGCGCAGAUCUGGGAGCGAGAAAACGGUCGGGCGGAUACGCGCGAGUCCUCACCACAGGCAUCUGAACUCUCCAGUGCCAAGAAGAACCCGCAGGCACCUGGCUGGGCUAAGAGGUGCGUUCGAUCGUACACCAAGAGUGCCUGUAUGCUGCGUAACAGCGUCGAGUGCCUGUUGAUCUGCGUGAGAUUUGUGCUCUAAUUUGUGGGUUCGCACUGCUUAAAAUCAGUCCAACCACAGGAGACAGUUAGAACAAUUUGGGUCCUUUACCAUAGUUUUGGGUUAUGAUAGAAUAAUUAGUACUUGUAUAAGUGUGUUAUUACUGGAAGGUAGAACUGAGUGAGGCUGGGUGCAGCGACUAAUUUAGCAAAUAUUGUGUAGUGUGAAUGGGCUGAGCAAGUUCUUUUGGCAUGAAGGAUGAGGAUGUAAGAUCCUCUGAAUAUCUUGAUGGUGAGAUACUGGAGCAGUUGGAUCAUUAAAUAUAGCCAUGGGAUUUGUUAGUCCGUUUUUUUGUAACUGAAUGUGCUUGCAUUAGGCUGUGAGCUUUGUACUAAAAUCCGCGCGUAUGAUUCGACAUGUUCGGUUGAGUAGAGUUCUGACUGUAAUUGUUUUGUAGAGGUUAGUAGUGUUUGGACUGUUGGUUAUCAUUCUCGAAUAAGGCAUUCAUAUCAAUCUCUGCACCUGCCAGAAAUAAAAAAUGUGGAAUGUAUGGGUUUUUUCCGUUUCCUUUGUGAUUUUUGUGUACCCUGUAGACAUAAUUCUAUUUUCCGCACAUUGAAAAUGUCAAACAAUGUUUCUUUGUUGUGAAGAAACUCUCUUGCAGGUUGAGGUUUGUUGCAGCAGCCCCUAGUAGGAUGCUCUGCCCGGUGAGGGCUUGUUCUGUUAGACCCGACUGGGGUUCGAAACCCGAUCUGGCUUGUAACAGGCUUCGGUUAUACCUCGUCCAGUACGAGAGGAGGAGAGGCGUGAGCGACGGCGGGCCUGCAGCAGAUCCACAUGCGCGGCGGCCUUCUCCGGCGCGAGCACGAUGGGAGCGGACGGCAGCAGCGUGCCCCAGAGGCGUCCUACUAUUGCGUCCGAGAGAGGUGACGACGGCGUCCACACCUACGAUGUUGGAUUUCUCGCUGCAAGGCCACAAGAGGACAACAUGCCCAGACCGGGGCGAUGUUCCAAAACCAGUAAGGAGACCUGCUCGAUGCAAGAACUGUGGUGUGGAAGGCCAUAUAGGCAUAACAAGUGCCACAAGGUUGGGGAGCUACGCCUAAGCAAUGUAUGAUAAUGGAACUCUUAGACAGGUAGUGCCUGGGUUCAGUGCAGUGUGAUGUGUGCGCUGUGUGUGUACAUGGCCUGGUAGUUGGCACCUAAGAUUGCGGUCGAAACUACUCCCUCCGUCCCAUAAUGUAAGACGUUUUUUGGCACUACACUAGA